CAAUGUGAGGGGGAUCUGGCCGUGACAUCUGUCACCUCAUAGAUCACCAGGCUUGAUUCUAGGCAGAUACUCUGUCCCUCACUGCUCCUACAGCUGCACGCUAAGUUGAAGAGGAUGACCCUCGCUGAGUAGAGGAGGACCUGUAUUCAGUCAAAGAUGUGGGAGUAGCUGUGCUCCCCUGCUAGAGCUCCAAACAAGCUCUCAAAAGGAUGGAGAUAGGGAUGAAACCGUUCUGUGUACCAAGUAGGAUGCAAGUACUAAGGUUUUCUU
Molecule: small nuclear RNA, 270 nt
Filed under: Jaculus jaculus (lesser Egyptian jerboa)
Lineage: Eukaryota; Metazoa; Chordata; Mammalia; Rodentia; Dipodidae
Description: 7SK RNA (ENSJJAG00000004072.1)
Rfam family: 7SK RNA
About the family: 7SK was discovered as an abundant small nuclear RNA in the mid-70s but a possible function has only recently been suggested. Two independent studies have found that 7SK RNA binds the CDK9/cyclin T complex (known as elongation factor P-TEFb). P-TEFb activates transcription by phosphorylating the C-terminal domain of RNA polymerase II.
Source: Rfam by way of RNAcentral